This is a long non-coding RNA of Bradysia coprophila, 644 nucleotides long. Lineage: Eukaryota; Metazoa; Arthropoda; Insecta; Diptera; Sciaridae. The record is from RefSeq and is a predicted model, not a curated record.
CGACCAGCCAACCGACUUGGAGUUCUGGAUGUGCGCUCGACUACGCCAACGAUGGAAGUUUUAGAUCAUCCGAGUGACGACAAAAACGAGGGGGAGAUUGUUGGCGCGCGAAUUUCAAUUGAACGACCCCUCACUGGGACCGAAGUCGAAAUGUCAACAUCUUAAUCGAACUGAGUUGACCAACGGGCGGAAGAAGACACUUUUCUAUAUUUGAGGCAAAUCGUAAAUCGAAUUGGAAUAGGAGAAUUUUAUUUAAAUCGUUGAACAUCUGCGUUGAAGUAAAUUUAAAUUGUAUGAAGAAGUGUGUUGGACGUACGGAGGAUUGUGUCAAAUGGUGAAUUGUUGUAAUUAGUUACAGAUUCACUGACCGAUUAUAGAUCUAGACUCAAUUCGGACGAAGUGGCAUAUAGUUUACCAAGUGGUGAGAUUUGUUGAUUUGUUAGUUUGACACGAGCUAAUUUUACUGAUUUUGCAGUCUGGUCUAGGUUAGUUAUUCUAAUCCGAAAGUACGUUCCAACGCAGUUCUUGUGAUCCUAGUUUACACAGCAAAGUAAGAUUUGAUCAAUAAGUUUUAAGGAUUCUAGAUUGUUUACGUUUUACUGAUCUAAUUUAGGUAAAUAAAAGCCUUCACCACAUUUGAAUAC